GCAUUGGUGGUUCAGUGGUAGAAUUCCCGCCUCCCACGUGGGAGACCAGAGUUCGAUUCUGCUGUGUG
RNAcentral lists this transfer RNA (68 nucleotides) under Loxodonta africana (African savanna elephant). It matches the Rfam family "tRNA". Rfam says of the family: Transfer RNA (tRNA) molecules are approximately 80 nucleotides in length. Their secondary structure includes four short double-helical elements and three loops (D, anti-codon, and T loops). Lineage: Eukaryota; Metazoa; Chordata; Mammalia; Proboscidea; Elephantidae. The record is from Rfam by way of RNAcentral.